AGGAUCUGAGAAAUGUGACUCCACCCAAGGUCUCCUUGUUUGAGCCAUCAAAAGCAGAGAUUGCAAACAAACAAAAGGCUACCCUCGUGUGCUUGGCCAGGGGCUUCUUCCCUGACCACGUGGAGCUGAGCUGGUGGGUGAAUGGCAAGGAGGUCCACAGUGGGGUCAGCACGGACCCUCAGGCCUACAAGGAGAGCAAUUAUAGCUACUGCCUGAGCAGCCGCCUGAGGGUCUCUGCUACCUUCUGGCACAAUCCUCGAAACCACUUCCGCUGCCAAGUGCAGUUCCAUGGGCUUUCAGAGGAGGACAAGUGGCCAGAGGGCUCACCCAAACCUGUCACACAGAACAUCAGUGCAGAGGCCUGGGGCCGAGCAGCUGUGGAAUCACUUCAGCAUCCUAUCAUCAGGGGGUUCUGUCUGCAACCAUCCUCUAUGAGAUCCUACUGGGGAAGGCCACCCUAUAUGCUGUGCUGGUCAGUGGCCUGGUGCUGAUGGCCAUGGUCAAGAAAAAAAAUUCCUGA
Molecule: non-coding RNA, 520 nt
Organism: Mus musculus (house mouse)
Lineage: Eukaryota; Metazoa; Chordata; Mammalia; Rodentia; Muridae
Source: the annotation of a RefSeq genome assembly